This 212-nucleotide long non-coding RNA is filed under the name Elaeis guineensis (African oil palm). RNAcentral's name for it is "long non-coding RNA (EGUI_LNC031673)". Lineage: Eukaryota; Viridiplantae; Streptophyta; Magnoliopsida; Arecales; Arecaceae. The record is from RNAcentral.
UGCAUAUUGUUUUCUAUUUUUCAAAAAUAAAUCGGAGCAAAAAUCAAGCCAAAAUACUCUAAAAAUUAAUUUUUUUAGCCUUUGGUGCACGGUGGACCGACCGCUUGGUCCACGGAUUCAAGGGCGUGGUCCGCAAAAGCGUUUCAUGGUGCAUGGUACAGUCUAUGAUGGGUGGAAGAAAAUUUUUGUGAUUCGAUGGUGGAGAUUAAUCC